GAAAUAACUGUUCUUAAUUUUGUUUUCGUUUUUAAGUUUGGUGUUUGUUACUUACUUCCCUAUUAUAAUAAUAGAAGAAUGGUUUAAUUCUGAUUCAUUUGUUUUUUUUACUAUAACUGUGAUGAGAUUUGAUUUUGAUUCAUUUAUAUGUACAAUAUUACUUUUGAGGUUGCUUUAGAAGACAAAUUUAAGAAGCUUAUUCACUGUUUGAUAAAAUGUUACAUAGAGAUAUAUUACAUGGAUAAUAAUAAUUAAUGAGUGGUGUUUUACAAACUGUUUUAAAAAAUCUUUGAAAUAUGAAUUAUCAUUUCCGGACAUUCGUAGGUUGAGAAGUUUUAAAUUCAUUGUCCUUGGGUUAGAUUAGAGUCGUUUCACAACUUUUAAAAGUAAAAUCUCAGGGACAGGAGAAAUAGAGCAUAAGCAGAUGAAUACAGUAGAGUACGUAGAAGAGGUGCUCUUAUGCUUGGUAUGUCACUGCUUUGUUGUUUGGGUCAGAAAGCUUACAACGGAAAACUUAUAGGAGCUUAUAGUAGAGUCUGAUUUUUUCCUUCUGAUAGUUGUAGCGUAAUUUAUCUUAUUCAAUCAUAAAAUUAGAGGAGCUUAUAGUAGAGUAUGAUUUUUUCUUUUGAUAGUUGUAGAGUAUUUUAUCUUAUUCAUUUGUUUAUUUUGGGUAAAAUUGGUGGUAAUCUCUUCAUAAACAAUUGCCAGGGGCUGUAGAGUUUGUUUUCUAGUUUACCUUUCUUUGUUUAGACUAUUUAAUCUGAUUUACUGUACUUCUAUUAAAGUUUCUUGUUCUCUAUAUUGGCUUAAUUGCCAAGACAAAUUAUAAUCGUAAUAAUAAUGAUCGUAUGCUUGCAACCUUGUGAUUGAUUUGUUAACAUGCGUAAAUAAACAACCCAUGUUUAGAUUAGUAUUGCCAUCUCUCAAUUUGUGUGUCUCUUGUUUCUCUAAAGCUGGCAAAUGGUAAAUGUAAUAGUGUUUGGCCAAGUUUCUUUUAUUUAAGGAAAUAAAAGAUCUAGUAGUUUAUGUUUCUUUUAACUCUCUGUUCCUAGUCGUGAAUUCAUAUCUACGGAAUAUAUAGCUGUUUUGCAAAGUAGUUGUUUGCAUCUUGUCUCUUAUACUCUGUAUGUGUCCUGACUCACACACUUACCCCCUACCUCCCUUUUUUUCUAUUUUUUUUUCCAUGCAUAUGAAAAAACUCCGACCUUUCUCUGGGGUCUGCCUGAGUGGUUGUUAGAUGGACAACGAGCUUUUGCACGCUGAGUUCCUAUGGAGUUCGUGUUAUUGAAGGAUUCGGAUGGGAGCUUCUUGUGUGUGAUCUGAACCGACUAGACUGCUUGAUCUUCCAUUUGGUCAUACAAUAUGAUGUUCAAAUAGCAUGUGGGAGAUUUCAAUACUAUGAAGAGUUGCGGGAAUUGUUUGAGGCUAUGCAUUUAGACGUUUUUUAUUGCGGGUAUUCGGUAGGAGCAGUAACAAUGACAUUAGCAGUAACAAUGACAUUAGCUGCUUAGUUUAAACAUGUAAUAUUAUCUUUUAAUUCAUUGAUACAUUAGUAUUAUGAAUUAGUACUUGCUUUUGUUUGUUUGUAUUCAAUGAAAUAUAUUAUGUUUAACAUUUUUCAUUAUAAUUGUCUCUAAGUA
Molecule: long non-coding RNA, 1640 nt
Organism: Lycium barbarum (goji berry)
Lineage: Eukaryota; Viridiplantae; Streptophyta; Magnoliopsida; Solanales; Solanaceae
Exons: 3
Source: RefSeq, a predicted model, not a curated record